UGCAGGCAAGAGUGCUGGAGGGCGGCAGCGGCGACCGGAGCGGUAGGAGCAGCAAUUUAUCCGUGUGCAGCCCCAAACUGGAAAGAAGAUGCUAAUUAAAGUGAAGGAACCAAAGCGGGGAGUGUGUUCAGUCAGUACCUGCCUUUCUGAGCCUGGCAUCCUGGACCAGCCUCACUUCCUUGGCUGAGGCAGGUUCUCACUCUGUCGCCCAGGCUUAGGGUGCAGUGGUGCCAUCACAGCUUACUGCAGCCUCGACCUCUCAGGCCCAAGCAAUUCUCCCAUCUGAGCCUCCUGAGUAGCUGGGACUACAGGCGUGUGCUACCACCAUACCCAGCCAAUUGUUUUAUUUUUUUGUAGAGAUGCGGUCUCAUCGUGUUGCCCACGCUAGUCUAAAACUUCUGGGGUCAAGUGAUCUUCCCACCUCAUCUUCCUAAAGUGCUGGGAUUACAGCCGUGAGCUACCAUAUCUGACCCCUUUUUGAAUUAUUAUUAUUUUUGUUUUGUUUUGCUUUUGAGAUGGAGUCUCACUCUGUCGCCCAGGCUGGAGUACAGUGGCACGAUCUUGGCUCAUUGCAACCUCCGCCUCUUGGGUUCAAGCGAUGCUCCUGCCUCAGCCUCCCAAGUAGCUGGGACUACAAGUGCCCACCACCAUACCCGGCUAACUUUUGUAUUUUAGUAGAGACGGGGUUUCGCCAUGUUUGCCAGGCUGGUCUUGAACGCCUGACCUGAGGUGAUCCACCCACCUCAGCCUCCCAAAGUGCUGGGAUUACAGGCAUGAGCCACCGCGCCUGGCCUCAUUUUGUUUUUGUUUUGAGACAUUCUUACUCUGUCACCCAGGCUGGAGUGCAGUGGUAUGAUCUCGGCUCACUGCAACCUCCACCUCCCAGGCUCAAGGGAUCCUCCCAACUCAGCCUCCCAAGUAGCUGGGACUACAGGUACAUGCCACCACACCUGGCUGAUUUUCUGUAUUUUUAGUAGAGGUGGGGUUUCACCAUGUUGCCCAGGCUGGUCUUGAACUCCUGAGCUCAAGUGAUCCACCUGCCUUGGCCUCCCGAAGUGCUGGGAUUACAGGCGUGAGCCACCAUGCCCAGCCGAAUGAUUCAUUUUCAACUGCUGUCUCUGUGUAGCUGACUUCUUCCAUAUUUUUCUAUAAGAUUUUACAAUUAAAUUCUUCCUGAUUUAAAUCUUGUUACCUUGUCUCUAUGGUUCUAAAAUUAAAUGCAUCAUCUUCUGUCAUAAGCCAUAUCCCAAUACCCAUCUCGUGUAUUAAUCCCAUCAAUCAUUCAGGUGUCUGGAAUACAAUUCUUUAGAGUCAUUUAAAAUUACGUGGUCCUUUUAUAAGAUCUAAUUUUUCACUUAAAAGCUCUUUCUGUUUGAUUUUUGUUUCCAUCUCCAUUACCCUCAUUCUGGUCUCGGGUCUUACUCAUUUAUAUGUUUAUGUCUCUGUAAUACAUCCAACCAGGUUUUCCUACCGUCAUAUCCCCUCUAAAGUGUAGUCUAAACCAAGACAUGACGUACAAAACCAUAAUGUGCAGGUCUUCCUUUAGCUUCUUUUUCAUUAUAUUACUCCCUAACCCCAGAUCCUUCAUUGAUUUCCUCAUUGCAGAUUACUUUGGCAACUGUCUUUACUGUGUGAAUCAGUUUUCUCAUUCAUGUUUUUUAACAUACAGUAAAAUGCACAGUUCUUAAGGGUUUAGUUCAGUGAGUUUUUGACAAUAGCAUACGUUCAUGUAAUUACAAAAUCUAAACAUUUGUAUUCCUACCCCCUCAAGAGUUUCAUAGGUUAGUUUUGCUUGUUUUAGAACUUUAUAUAAAUGGAAUUAUUGAAUGUACAAUUUUUGUAUCUGGCUUCUUUCAUUCUGCAUAAUGUCUACUGUAAUCUGUGGUUUAUUCCUUCUUAUUACUGAAUAGUAUUCCAUUGGAUGAAUUAUAUCAUAAUUUGUUUAUCCAUUCUCCUGUUGAUGGGUGUUUGAGUUAUCUCCAGUUUCUGGCUAUUAUGAAAAAGUCUUCUAUGAACAUUGUUAUACGAGUGUUUUUGUAAACAUAUGUUUUUAUUUCCUUUGGAUAAAUACCUAAGAAUGAAAUUACUAGGUCAUGUGGUAGAUAUAUGUAACUUUAAAAAGAAACUAAGGGUUUGUACCAUUUUAUAUUCCCACCUGCAGUGUAUGAGCAUUCCAGUUGCUCUGUACCCUUACUAGACGGUACCCUUGUAGCACCAUAAAAAUGCUGAUGUCAGUCAUUUUUAUUUUGGCUAUUAUAGUGUUAUAAUGUUAUAUAAAUUAAAACACUAUAUCUAGUGUU
RNAcentral lists this long non-coding RNA (2300 nucleotides) under Homo sapiens (human). Its description in RNAcentral is "NEDD8 ubiquitin like modifier (ENSG00000285246.2)". Lineage: Eukaryota; Metazoa; Chordata; Mammalia; Primates; Hominidae. The record is from RNAcentral.